AAAAAACAAACACUUUCUACCAUAUUUACAAAAAAAAAAAAAACUUAUGAACCCUAGCCUCCUCUGCUAGGGUUCCAACAUUCAACCGCCACCGCCGUUCAACGGAUUCAAAGUCCCUUCAACCCCGAUCUGAUCAGAGCCAAUGGGGAGUCUCCGUCUCCUUCCCGCAGGUAAGUAUCCCUUUUCUCCCUUUUCGUAUAUUAUUUUCUUUUUGUAAUAGAAUGCGGAAAAAAAAUAAAUAAGAAAAGAAGCUGAAGCUCGAAAAAAAACUAUUAACCUUUUGAUUUUUUUGAUUGAUCUUUUCUAUUUGGUACUUUGUUUGCUAUGAAAGUAAUAGAUUUUUUUUAUUGAUUUUCGAUUUGGGGCCCCCUUUACAGUGUAUCAAUGGCCAUUUUUAUAGCCAAAGUAAAAUAAAAUCAUAGAAAGUAAAUCUAUUUUCUUUGAUUUGAUUUUCAAUCUAUUCUUUCCAUAUACUACUUUGUUUCGUGCAGGUGAAGAUCAUGUGGAGAUUCGGGGGCGAGGCUUGGCUUGCGGCGCUACCCUAGGGUUCCAUCUGCUCCCUGAGCUUUGAUUUGGGCUAAGGUCUGAUUUGGGCCUCUGUUUUGUUUGGACUUGGGCCAUAUAGGCCGAUCGUAAUUUGGGCCUUUUACCCGGGCCAAAAUCGGGUAUUACAAUCCAUGUUGGAAAAGUAGUCGUGUAAGGUGGUUCUUAUGGUGUGGGGUAGUUAAGUGAGGAGCGAUAGAGACGGGAAGUAAGGGAUGGGCAAUAAUGAGGAUUGGUGGUUUUAGUGGUAGAUCCUAGAAUUAAAUUUUGGAGGGUCUAGUAAAAUUUUCAAAACUUUUAGGAGUUAAUGAGAUUUUUUAAAAAAUUUGGAGUCUAAUUAAAAUUUUUGUGAGAUUAAUGAGAAAUUUCAAAAAUUUAAGGGUACUUAAUUAAAAUUUUCUAAAAAAUGUAACUGAAAAAUGAAAAAUUUCCAAAAUUUAGGCUACCACUACAAUUUGCCUUUGGGUGGUUUUUAUGGUGAGUGAUGAGUACUGAUGAUUGAUGAUUGAUGAUUCUUGUGUUGCAAAUAAACAAAAAAUAUUUUAAACUAAUUAUAGAGAGAUUCUUAGCUUUAGCCUAAAAUAAAAGAAUGAUAUGUCAGCAAUCUUAAUUAAAGUGAUUAAAUUAACAAAAAAAAUAAAUAAAAAUAAGUACAACCAAAGUUUAAAAUAACUUGGGAUAUAAUUUACCCUAAAUUUUAUAUAAAAAUUUUAAUAUUUUUACAAUUAAGUUUAAGUGUAUUGAAAACAGAUAAUAACAUAAACCUUAUACAGUUAUGCAAGUGAUCAGAUUUAAUUGAAUGUGACGCCACACUCUUCCAUUAUUAAUUUGUGACUAACUUUAGAAGGUUCACAUAAUAUGAUGUGUCCCUCUUAAAUAAUAUUAUAUAAGAAUAAUUUAUAUUAAGAUUGUUUUAAAAUAUAUUGUUUUUAAGUAUUAAUAAAAUAAUAUUAAUAAAAAUUAAAUUAAAUUAACA
RNAcentral lists this long non-coding RNA (1519 nucleotides) under Gossypium barbadense (sea-island cotton). RNAcentral describes it as "long non-coding RNA (GBAR_LNC019769)". The record is from RNAcentral. Lineage: Eukaryota; Viridiplantae; Streptophyta; Magnoliopsida; Malvales; Malvaceae.